GGAGAGUUUGAUCAUGGCUCAGAACGAACGCUGGCGGCAGGCUUAACACAUGCAAGUCGAACGCCCCUUCGGGGGAGUGGCAGACGGGUGAGUAACGCGUGGGAAUUUACCCAGCUCUACGGAACAACUCAGGGAAACUUGAGCUAAUACCGUAUACGCCCUUUUGGGGAAAGAUUUAUCGGAGUUGGAUGAGCCCGCGUUUGAUUAGCUAGUUGGUGGGGUAAUGGCCUACCAAGGCGACGAUCAAUAGCUGGUCUGAGAGGAUGAUCAGCCACACUGGGACUGAGACACGGCCCAGACUCCUACGGGAGGCAGCAGUGGGGAAUAUUGGACAAUGGGCGCAAGCCUGAUCCAGCCAUGCCGCGUGAGUGAUGAAGGCCCUAGGGUUGUAAAGCUCUUUCAACGGUGAAGAUAAUGACGGUAACCGUAGAAGAAGCCCCGGCUAACUUCGUGCCAGCAGCCGCGGUAAUACGAAGGGGGCUAGCGUUGUUCGGAUUUACUGGGCGUAAAGCGCACGUAGGCGGAUCGUUAAGUGAGGGGUGAAAUCCCAGGGCUCAACCCUGGAACUGCCUCUCAUACUGGCGAUCUCGAGUUCGAGAGAGGUGAGUGGAAUUCCGAGUGUAGAGGUGAAAUUCGUAGAUAUUCGGAGGAACACCAGUGGCGAAGGCGGCUCACUGGCUCGAUACUGACGCUGAGGUGCGAAAGUGUGGGGAGCAAACAGGAUUAGAUACCCUGG
This 736-nucleotide ribosomal RNA is filed under the name uncultured bacterium. Its description in RNAcentral is "bacterial SSU rRNA". It matches the Rfam family "Bacterial small subunit ribosomal RNA", at positions 8 to 790 of the family's 1533-position model. The record is from RNAcentral.